UGUCGUCAGCUCGUGUUGUGAAAUGUUGGGUUAAGUCCCGCAACGAGCGCAACCCUUAUCCUUUGUUGCCAGCGGUCAGGCCGGGAACUCAAAGGAGACUGCCAGUGAUAAACUGGAGGAAGGUGGGGAUGACGUCAAGUCAUCAUGGCCCUUACGACCAGGGCUACACACGUGCUACAAUGGCGCAUACAAAGAGAAGCGACCUCGCGAGAGCAAGCGGACCUCAUAAAGUGCGUCGUAGUCCGGAUUGGAGUCUGCAACUCGACUCCAUGAAGUCGGAAUCGCUAGUAAUCGUGGAUCAGAAUGCCACGGUGAAUACGUUCCCGGGCCUUGUACACACCGCCCGUCACACCAUGGGAGUGGGUUGCAAAAGAAGUAGGUAGCUUAACCUUCGGGAGGGCGCUUACCACUUUGUGAUUCAUGACUGGGGUGAAGUCGUAACAAGGUAACCGUAGGGGAACCUGCGGUUGGAUCACCUCCUUACCUGAAAGAA
RNAcentral lists this ribosomal RNA (493 nucleotides) under Salmonella enterica. Its description in RNAcentral is "bacterial SSU rRNA". It matches the Rfam family "Bacterial small subunit ribosomal RNA", at positions 1050 to 1533 of the family's 1533-position model. The record is from RNAcentral. Lineage: Bacteria; Pseudomonadati; Pseudomonadota; Gammaproteobacteria; Enterobacterales; Enterobacteriaceae.